CAGCAGCCGCGGUAAUACGAAGGGUGCAAGCGUUACUCGGAAUUACUGGGCGUAAAGCGUGUGUAGGUGGUUGUUUAAGUCUGUCGUGAAAGCCCUGGGCUCAACCUGGGAAUUGCGAUGGAUACUGGGCGACUAGAGUGCGGUAGAGGAUAGUGGAAUUUCCGGUGUAGCAGUGAAAUGCGUAGAGAUCGGAAGGAACAUCUGUGGCGAAGGCGACUAUCUGGGCCAACACUGACACUGAGACACGAAAGCGUGGGGAGCAAACAGGAUUAGAUACCCCAGUAGUCCCUGUCUCUUAUAC
Molecule: ribosomal RNA, 301 nt
Filed under: uncultured bacterium
Lineage: Bacteria
Description: partial 16S ribosomal RNA
Rfam family: Bacterial small subunit ribosomal RNA
Source: RNAcentral